Molecule: ribosomal RNA, 365 nt
Filed under: Lysinibacillus sp. FES57
Lineage: Bacteria; Bacillati; Bacillota; Bacilli; Caryophanales; Bacillaceae
Description: bacterial SSU rRNA
Rfam family: Bacterial small subunit ribosomal RNA
Source: RNAcentral
GACCACUGUAGAGAUAUGGUUUCCCCUUCGGGGGCAACGGUGACAGGUGGUGCAUGGUUGUCGUCAGCUCGUGUCGUGAGAUGUUGGGUUAAGUCCCGCAACGAGCGCAACCCUUGAUCUUAGUUGCCAUCAUUUAGUUGGGCACUCUAAGGUGACUGCCGGUGACAAACCGGAGGAAGGUGGGGAUGACGUCAAAUCAUCAUGCCCCUUAUGACCUGGGCUACACACGUGCUACAAUGGACGAUACAAACGGUUGCCAACUCGCGAGAGGGAGCUAAUCCGAUAAAGUCGUUCUCAGUUCGGAUUGUAGGCUGCAACUCGCCUACAUGAAGCCGGAAUCGCUAGUAAUCGCGGAUCAGCAUGCC